UUUCCGUAGGUGAACCUGCGGAAGGAUCAUUGAUGAAUAACACUGGUGAUUGCAAUCCAAUAUUCUUGGAUUUGCGCAUCAGGCAAACAACUAUACAUGUGAAGGAUGCUUGCAUCCUUGUACACAACUAAUCACUAUUGAUUUAUUUAAUAUCACUAAUAAUACAAAACUUUCAACAAUGGAUCUCUUGGCUCUU
RNAcentral lists this unclassified non-coding RNA (196 nucleotides) under soil metagenome. Its description in RNAcentral is "partial contains small subunit ribosomal RNA, internal transcribed spacer 1, and 5.8S ribosomal RNA". The record is from RNAcentral.